This 1228-nucleotide unclassified non-coding RNA is filed under the name Espeletia incana. RNAcentral describes it as "partial external transcribed spacer". The record is from RNAcentral. Lineage: Eukaryota; Viridiplantae; Streptophyta; Magnoliopsida; Asterales; Asteraceae.
CAGGCCUCCCUCUGCUUGGUUCCGCUCGUGGGCAUGAGUGAGGGGCGAUGCUUGAUGGCUUUGAUGCCAUCGGUGGGAAUGUGUUUAAGCAUCGGCCUUCCCUCAUGACCACGAUGGUCUACAGUCUUGUGUACGAGUUAGUGACGUCGCUUGUUUGUUUUGAUGCUUGCGUUGGAACUUGCUUAAGCAACCGACCUGACGAAGUACCCAUGAAUGUCACCCAUGAUGGUCUACAGUCUUGUGUACGAGUUAGGGACGUCGCUUGUUUGUUUUGAUGCUUGCGUUGGAACUUGCUUAAGCAACCGACCUGACGAAGUACCCAUGAAUGUCACCUAUGAUGGUCUACAGUCUUGCGUACGAGUUAGUGACGUCGCUUGUUUGUUUUGAUGCUUGCGUUGGAACUUGCUUAAGCAACCGACCUGACGAAGUACCCAUGAAUGUCACCUAUGAUGGUCUACAGUCUUGCGUACGAGUUAGUGACGUCGCUUGUUUGUUUUGAUGCUUGCGUUGGAACUUGCUUAAGCAACCGACCUGACGGAGUACCCAUGAAUGUCGUUCAUGAUGGUCUACAGUCUUGGGUAUGAGUCAGUGAUGAUGCUUGUUUGUUUUGAUGCUCGCGUUUGAACUUGCUCAGCAACCGACCAGACGAAGUACCCAUGAAUGUCGCCCAUGAUGGUCUACAGUCUUGGGUAUGAGUCAGUGACGAUGCUUGUUUGUUCUGAUGCUUGCGUUUGAACUUGCCAAGUCUGCGAUCCAGGGGGUGAUGUGAGAGCCGGAAGGCAAGGUGCAAACACUAGUCUGCCUUUGUCCCGAUUGCCGAGUGUUAUGUGCUUGAUGUCCAAGGCUUGAUGCUGAUCCUCCAAGUGGGGCUUGUCCCUGCACCAAUGGCUUUUGCCAGGAUCAUGGCGUUUGUUAUGAUCGAAAAACUGAGGGGGUGAUGUUUAGAGCUGGAAGGCAAGGGGGUGCAAACACCAGUCGGCCUUUGUCCCGAUUGCUGAGUGUUAUGUGCUUGAUGUCCAAGGCUUGAAUCUGACCCUCCAAGUGGGGGCUUUUUUGUUCCUGCGAUAACGACUAUGUUGGGAUCAUUGUGAUCAAGUUUGGUUGGUUUCGUAUUGUGGUGGGUUUUUUCGAAGCUUCUAUCGUUCUUUUACGCAUCGUGCGGUGCAUCUUGGGGGCUGUUUUGGCUUUUGGUUGCUUGCUUGGGCUUUAUGCUAGGCGGGUGGCUAAU